Molecule: ribosomal RNA, 253 nt
Filed under: uncultured bacterium
Lineage: Bacteria
Description: partial 16S ribosomal RNA
Rfam family: Bacterial small subunit ribosomal RNA
Source: RNAcentral
UACGGGGGGGCAAGCGUUGUUCGGAAUUACUGGGCGUAAAGGGCUCGUAGGCGGCCAACUAAGUCAUACGUGAAAUCCCUCGGCUUAACCGGGGAACUGCGUCUGAUACUGGAUGGCUUGAGUUCGGGAGAGGGAUGCGGAAUUCCAGGUGUAGCGGUGAAAUGCGUAGAUAUCUGGAGGAACACCGGUGGCGAAGGCGGCAUCCUGGACCGAUACUGACGCUGAUGAGCGAAAGCCAGGGGAGCAAACGGGG